GUAACGGCGAGUGAAGCGGUAACAGCUCAAAUUUGAAAUCUGGCUCUUUCAGGGUCCGAGUUGUAAUUUGUAGAAGAUGCUUCGGGUGUGGCUCCGGUCUAAGUUCCUUGGAACAGGACGUCAUAGAGGGUGAGGAUCCCGUAUGUGACUGGCUGCCUUCGCCUAUGUGAAGCUCUUUCGACGAGUCGAGUUGUUUGGGAAUGCAGCUCUAAAUGGGUGGUAAAUUUCAUCUAAAGCUAAAUAUUGGCCAGAGACCGAUAGCGCACAAGUAGAGUGAUCGAAAGAUGAAAAGCACUUUGGAAAGAGAGUUAAACAGUACGUGAAAUUGUUGAAAGGGAAGCGCUUGCAACCAGACUUGCGCCCCGUCGAUCAUCCCCCGUUCUCGGAGGUGCACUCGGCGAGGCUCAGGCCAGCAUCGGUUUCGGUGGUGGGAUAAAGGCCUUGGGAACGUAGCUCCUCUCGGGGAGUGUUAUAGCCCUCGGUGCAAUGCCGCCUACCGGGACCGAGGACCGCGCUUCGGCUAGGAUGCUGGCGUAAUGGUUG
Molecule: ribosomal RNA, 543 nt
Filed under: Cyathicula tomentosa
Lineage: Eukaryota; Fungi; Ascomycota; Leotiomycetes; Helotiales; Helotiaceae
Description: eukaryotic LSU rRNA
Rfam family: Eukaryotic large subunit ribosomal RNA
Source: RNAcentral